This 2986-nucleotide ribosomal RNA is filed under the name Salinivibrio kushneri. RNAcentral describes it as "23S ribosomal RNA". It matches the Rfam family "Bacterial large subunit ribosomal RNA". Lineage: Bacteria; Pseudomonadati; Pseudomonadota; Gammaproteobacteria; Vibrionales; Vibrionaceae. The record is from RNAcentral.
GGUUAAGUAAUUAAGCGUAGACGGUGGAUGCCUUGGCAGUCAGAGGCGAUGAAGGACGUACUAACCUGCGAAAAGCGAUGGUGAGCUGGUAAGAAGCAUUUGAGCCAUCGAUGUCCGAAUGGGGAAACCCACCUGCAUAAGCAGGUAUCUUAGCGUGAAUCCAUAGCGCUAAGAGGCGAACUCGGGGAACUGAAACAUCUAAGUGCCCGAAGGAAAAGAAAUCAAUUGAGAUUCCGGCAGUAGCGGCGAGCGACCCCGGAGCAGCCCUUAAGCGGCUUAGGCGUUAGGUGAACAGGUUGGAAAACCUGGCAAUAAAGGGUGAUAGCCCCGUAACCGACGGCGCCUUAGGCGUGAAAACGAGUAAGACGGGACACGUGAUAUCUUGUCUGAAUAUGGGGGGACCAUCCUCCAAGGCUAAAUACUCCUGACUGACCGAUAGUGAACCAGUACCGUGAGGGAAAGGCGAAAAGAACCCCUGUGAGGGGAGUGAAAUAGAACCUGAAACCGUCUACGUACAAGCAGUGGGAGCCCCAUCACUAAGACACUUCAUCUUAGUGAGACGCUAUCACUUUGUUGACUGGGUUAACCACGCGCAGCGUGGGUCAACCACCCAAUCCAGCAGAGGUGACUUAGUGAUGGGGUGACCGCGUACCUUUUGUAUAAUGGGUCAGCGACUUAAUGUAAGUAGCAAGGUUAACCGCAUAGGGGAGCCGUAGGGAAACCGAGUCUUAACUGGGCGACAGUUGCUUGCAUUAGACCCGAAACCGAGUGAUCUAGCCAUGGGCAGGUUGAAGGUUGAGUAACAUCAACUGGAGGACCGAACUCACUAACGUUGAAAAGUUAGGAGAUGACCUGUGGCUAGGGGUGAAAGGCCAAUCAAACUCGGAGAUAGCUGGUUCUCCCCGAAAGCUAUUUAGGUAGCGCCUCGGACGAACACUACUGGGGGUAGAGCACUGUUAAGGCUAGGGGGUCAUCCCGACUUACCAACCCUUUGCAAACUCCGAAUACCAGUAAGUGCUAUCCGGGAGACACACGGCGGGUGCUAACGUCCGUCGUGGAGAGGGAAACAACCCAGACCGCCAGCUAAGGUCCCCAAGUUAUCGCUAAGUGGGAAACGAUGUGGGAAGGCUCAGACAGCCAGGAUGUUGGCUUAGAAGCAGCCAUCAUUUAAAGAAAGCGUAAUAGCUCACUGGUCGAGUCGGCCUGCGCGGAAGAUGUAACGGGGCUAAGCGAUACACCGAAGCUGCGGCAAUGUCCUUAUGGAUAUUGGGUAGGGGAGCGUUGUGUAAGCUGUUGAAGGUGUGCUGAGAGGCAUGCUGGAGGUAUCACAAGUGCGAAUGCUGACAUGAGUAACGAUAAAGGGGGUGAAAAACCUCCUCGCCGGAAGACCAAGGGUUCCUGUCCAACGUUAAUCGGGGCAGGGUAAGUCGGCCCCUAAGGCGAGGCCGAAAGGCGUAGUCGAUGGGAAACGGGUUAAUAUUCCCGUACUGCUACUUACUGCGAUGGGGGGACGGAGAAGGCUAGGUGGGCCUGGCGAUGGUUGUCCAGGUUCAAGUGCGUAGGCUGAUUUCUUAGGCAAAUCCGGGAAAUCAAGGCCGAGACACGAUGUCGAGCCACCAAGGUGGUGAAGUCAUUGAUGCCAUGCUUCCGGGAAAAGCCUCUAAGCUUCAGGUAAGUAGGAACCGUACUCCAAACCGACACAGGUGGUCGGGUAGAGAAUACCAAGGCGCUUGAGAGAACUCGGGUGAAGGAACUAGGCAAAAUGGUACCGUAACUUCGGGAGAAGGUACGCUGCCCGCGGUGAAGUCCCUAGCGGAUGGAGCUAUGGGCAGUCGCAGAUACCAGGUGGCUGCAACUGUUUAUUAAAAACACAGCACUGUGCAAAAUCGAAAGAUGACGUAUACGGUGUGACGCCUGCCCGGUGCCGGAAGGUUAAUUGAUGUGGUUAUCGCAAGAGAAGCCAUUGAUUGAAGCCCCGGUAAACGGCGGCCGUAACUAUAACGGUCCUAAGGUAGCGAAAUUCCUUGUCGGGUAAGUUCCGACCUGCACGAAUGGCGUAAUGAUGGCCACGCUGUCUCCACCCGAGACUCAGUGAAAUUGAAAUCGCAGUGAAGAUGCUGUGUACCCGCGGCUAGACGGAAAGACCCCGUGAACCUUUACUACAGCUUGGCACUGAACAUUGAGCCUACAUGUGUAGGAUAGGUGGGAGGCUUUGAAGCGGCGACGCCAGUUGCUGUGGAGCCAUCCUUGAAAUACCACCCUUGUAUGUUUGAUGUUCUAACUUAGCCCCGUUAUCCGGGGUGAGGACAGUGCCUGGUGGGUAGUUUGACUGGGGCGGUCUCCUCCCAAAGUGUAACGGAGGAGCACGAAGGUGGGCUAAUCACGGUCGGACAUCGUGAGGUUAGUGCAAUGGCAUAAGCCCGCUUAACUGCGAGAGUGACGGCUCGAGCAGGUACGAAAGUAGGUCAUAGUGAUCCGGUGGUUCUGAAUGGAAGGGCCAUCGCUCAACGGAUAAAAGGUACUCCGGGGAUAACAGGCUGAUACCGCCCAAGAGUUCAUAUCGACGGCGGUGUUUGGCACCUCGAUGUCGGCUCAUCACAUCCUGGGGCUGAAGUCGGUCCCAAGGGUAUGGCUGUUCGCCAUUUAAAGUGGUACGCGAGCUGGGUUUAGAACGUCGUGAGACAGUUCGGUCCCUAUCUGCCGUGGGCGUUGGAUGAUUGAGGGGAGCUGCUCCUAGUACGAGAGGACCGGAGUGGACGAACCGCUGGUGUUCGGGUUGUGUCGCCAGACGCAUUGCCCGGUAGCUAAGUUCGGCACAGAUAAGCGCUGAAAGCAUCUAAGCGCGAAGCUGGCCCCGAGAUGAGUCAUCCCUAGAGCCUCGAGCUCUCUAAAGGGUUGUUCUAGACGAGAACGUUGAUAGGCAGGGUGUGUAAGCGCUGUGAGGCGUUGAGCUAACCUGUACUAAUGGCCCGUGAGGCUUAACCAU